UAAGAUCAAGUGUAGUAUCUGUUCUUAUCAGUUUAAUAUCUGAUACGUGGGCCAUUGGUCCACAUGAUAUUAAAUUAAUUUUUUAAGGGGGAGAGCCCAUGCCGGUAGCUUGCUGCUGGGGUUCUCGCGCGUCGCCCAAGCGUUGCACUGCAGCUUAGGCCUGGCGCACCCACCAAUGCCAGUUUAGGAAAAUGUUGGAAAUGAGGUAUGGUAUUUAUCUGAAUUAGAAUUCCGAAUAACCAAAGUAACCUUUUAAAAUGUUCUUAUGUUAUCUCGAUGAUAUUCUGAAUUACAUAUUGCAAUGAAAAAGGGUUUUUUAAUUUACUAAACCCUAUAACGGUUUAAUGAUCUUUUAAAUAUAAGAUUGCUUAUGACCAUAAUCUUCCUUUUUUGAGUUAAAAUUUUAGAUGAAGUAAAGAUUAUAAUAUUCAAAAGCCAUAAGCCUGAAGACCCCAAAUUAAAGCAAUUCCCUUAAAUUUAGUUUGAGUAACAAUUAAAAUAGGAGGUUUAUAGACCCAUCAACAUAAGUUUUCUCCCUUUUUAAUUUUCACACCAUAUUUUCUGAAGAAAUGCACUGGCUCAGAAACCUUUUUAAUCAUUUAAAAAAAAAGAAAGAGAGAUCAAUUAAUAAUGAUUUGGAAACUGAUAAUUGUUUCCUUCGAAUUUCACUAGACUGUUUGGACCGUGUAGAAAGGAAGGGAAGCUACAACUCUCUGUUUGAAAAUUCCUUAAUCCCACUUUAGACAAAUAAAAGUAAGGAGCAGGAAACAGAGGAAGCAGAGACUAUAAGUACAGGGCAGGUGGCAACGAUGCAACAUACUUACCUGGACGGGGUCGAUGGGUGAUCAAAAAGGCCCAUGGCUUAGGUAAGCGGCCUCCAUUGCACUUAGGAGGGGCGCUUGCUUAUGGUCUCCCCAGGUGGGAGAGCCAACGUCAUAAUUUGUGGUAGUGGGGGCCUGCGUUCGCGCGGCCCCUAUCCAAUUCUAGUGCCUAACGUUUCAGAUUUCUGGGUCAGGAAGGUUUAAGGCUUGUAUAUCUUAAGUUCACAACUGUUUUCCUGAUGAAGCACUUGAUAAAGUUAAUUGAAUUUCGUUUGCUUUUCACAUAGCCAUUCUGCUACUUCUUAAAGCUUGUUUCCUAUAUGCAAAACAUCACCUGAAAUCUCUGUCUUCUUUCUUUGUUCCACAGGGUUGAGAAAAGAACAUGUUCAAGUUUCCGAGUAGUUCAAUAGAUUACCUGUUUCUCUCAAUAUUUAGCCUUGUUUUGCACCAAAGAAAGUUCGUUUACAUCCUCAUUGUUGCAUGACUACUCUCAUGGUUGAGAAGGGAGUUUUCAUGAUGAAUCAUAGAUACUAAACCCAGAUGCAAACUCCUAAUCCACAAUUUCAACAUUUCUUUAGUUGUGCUUUCGCAACAAGUCAACAAGUGCCCAGAAAAAACUGUCUUCAUUGUUUGUACCGCCGGGUUAAGCCUACCAAAGCAAUGAUUCAAAAAAGAACAUAUUCCAAGUUUCUAGGUAGUUCAAAAAUGGAAUUCAAAUCUUCAAAACUCUGUUUUGCAUUAAAAAAUAUUGUUAUCACACUACGAUAAUAUACUAAAUAAAAAUGAUAAACGCAUUUUAUCCAGUAUUAAAAACGUAUCAUAUAAUAUGUGAUAUGUAUUUUAUAAUAUGAAAAUGUAUAGUACGAUACAAUCAAUACAUUUUUCAUAAACUUAAUUUUAACUAAUUAUUAAAAAUUUUAGAAUUAAAUACACUAAUAUCUUUAAGUUUUAAUUAUAAUUUUAUACAGAUCUAUUAAUUUUCGAAAUGUACUGUUUGCCUUAAAAGAAUAUCUUCUAUUAGAUAUAUACGUCUAACUACUAGUCCAUCGUGAAUAUUUUCAUUAAUUUGAUGAUGUAAUAAUAUUGAAAAGAUAAAUUUAUUUUUUAUUAAUUUUAAAAUUUAUCAAAUUAUAAUUUAAAAAAAAACCUCUACUCUCGCCAACCGACUACCCCGUGGCCAGAUCUGAUUAGAGAGCACUAGAUCUAGCUAGAUCACACACUAGGAGCACUAGAUCGAUAUUCUCUACAUUUGAUGCUCAUUUGAGGAGAUUCAACUGAAUCUGACAUUUCAUGAUCAGAUUUGAUCAUAGGCUGACUAGUCAAGUAAACGAAAGCCGUUAGUUGACCUAAAAAAAGGAAAAGAGUAACAAAAAAAACGUUUUAAACAUUUCACGUUUAAGUAUUAAUAUUGUUUACAUAUUUGAGGUAAAAUGUUCAAUUUGAAAACUAUUAAACCUAUGUAUAAUUAUAGUUAAAAGUUGAAACGUCAAUAUAUUUUAUUCAAAAUUUUAUUUUUUAUUAUUUUUUAAAUUGAAACAUUAAAAACUAUUUUUCAAGAGUUUCAAUCUUUAGAUUUAAACAAAUAUUAAAAAAUUUGAAUUCAUUUUUUAUUUCAAUGUGUUUUUUAAUUUUUAAUUAAUAAAUUAAUAUAAGAAUGUAUAUUUUGUUUAAAAAUAUAUAUUAUUAAGAAAUAUAUUGAGAGUUUAAAUUAAAAAAUAAUAAUCUUUUCAAUCUAUAUCCUAUAAUCUUCAAUUGUUAAAAAUAUAAUAUUUUUAAAAUUUUUUCUUUAUUUUACAUAUAUAUUAUUUAUAAUUAAUUUUAAAUUUUUUUACUAAUACUUAAUAAACUAAAAUAAGUUUUGAUAUACAUACAUAUUUCGAUUUAACAACUAUGUUCAAAAAAUUCCACAUUGAAACUAUUAGUGACAAGAGCUGAGAAGUUGUCUUUAAAAGAAACGAGUCUCGAAGGAAAGAAGCAUACCUUUCUCGGCCUUUUGGCUAAGAUCAAGUGUAGUAUCUGUUCUUAUCAGUUUAAUAUCUGAUACGUGGGCCAUCGGUCCACAUGAUAUUAAAUUAAUUUUUUUAGGGGGAGAGCUCACUCACAAUAGCUUGCUAUUGGGGCUCUUGCGCGUCGCCCAAGCGUUGCACUUGCUGCUCGGGCCUGGCGCACCCCACCCAAUUCCACUCCAAAUAUUUAGUGAACUUAGAAAUUUUUAAAGAAUUGUAUUAUUUUGAUUAAUUGUUAGAUAAAUUUAAGAUUAAUUUUUAAAGAUUAUCUUAGUUAUAUUAUGAAUCAUGAAUUAGAACAAAAAUGGGUAUGUGAGGUCAUUAAAUUUUUUAAUGGUUUAAUGAGUUAAGAAGCCUAUAAAUUUUUAACCUGGCUUUGCUUAUGACUAUAGUACAACUUAUUUUCAUUUCCUUUUUUUGAGUUAAAAUUUAAGAUGAAUCUAAGAUUAUAAUAAUCAAAAGCCACAAGCCUUAAGGCACAAACUUAAUUAAUUUUAGUUAGUUUGAGUUGAACUAAAAUAGGAGGUUUGUAAACCCAUCAGCAUAGGUUUUCUCCCCUUUUAAUUUGCAAGGUUAAAAGGAAAGUACCCUUGAUCCAUAUUUUUGAAUAAAAUUCAAAUUGCUCAGAAACCUUUUUAAUCAAUUUUAAAAAAAAUGAAAAAAGACCAAUUAAUAAUGAUUUGGAAACUGAUCAUUGUUUCCUUCGAAUUUCACAAGUCUGUAUGAACCAGAGAAAGGAAGGGAAGCUAGCCUAUUCUCGGUUUGGAAAUUCAUUCAUCCCAUAUUGAACAAGUAGAAGUAAGUGGCAGGGAACAGAGGAAGCAGAGACUAUAAAUACAGGGCAGGUGGCAACGAUCAAACAUACUUACCUGGACGGGGUCGAUGGGUGAUCAGAAAGGCUCAUGGCCUAAGCAAGCGGCCUCCAUUGCACUGAGGAGGGGCGCUUGCCUAAGGUCUCCCCUAGUGGGAGAGCCUACGUCAUAAUUUGUGGUAGUGGGGGCCUGCGUACGCGCGGCCCCUGUCCAAUUCUAGUAACUAACGUUUGAAGAUCUAGGUUAUGUAGGGAUCAGGGCUUAAGGCCUUUGCUGGGCUCACCAAAAGUCCUGUUAGCUUAUUUUCUUAGUGGAGUCCCCACAUCGACUGAAGCAUGCGUACAACAAAGGGAGGGUAGAUUAAGGCCUGCAUAUGCCAAGUUCCCAACUGUUUUCUUGAUGAAGCACUUAUUAAAGUUAAUUGAAUUUCAGUAAAUUGCGAACAAUUUGGAUGAACUUGGGUUUGCUUUCAACAUUGCCAUCCUGCCACUUCUUCAUUCUUGUUUCCUAUAGGCAAAGCACCAGAAUUCUCCUAAACCCGAAGCCUAUGUCUUCUUUCUUUGUUCCACAGGGUUGAGAAAAGAACAUGUUUAAGUUUCUGAGUAGUUCAACAGAUUACCUGUUUCUCUCAAUCUUUAGCCCUGUUUUGCACCAAAGAAAGUUCGUUUACAUCCUCAUCGUUCAAUGACUACUCUCAUGAUUGAGAAGGGAGUUUUCAUGAUGAACCAUAGAUACUAACCCCAGUUGCAAACUAUGGCACCUAAUCCACAAUUUCAACGUUUCUUUGGUUGUGCUUUCUCGACAAGUCAACUAGUGACCCAGAAAAAACUGUCUUCGUUGUUUGUUCCGCUGGGGUAAGCCGAGUAAAAUAAUAUGAUUCAGAAAAGAACGUGUUCCAAGUUUCUAAGUAGUUCAUAGAUUACCUAUUGCUCUCCACCUAGGAAUUCGAAUCCCCUAACUAACUCUGUUUUACACCCAAAAACCAUAUUUAUCAAUAUCAUAUGUGUAUGGAUACAAUAAAAAAUUAUAUGUAUUUAUAGUUAUUUCGUAUUUGAUUAAAUAUUGAAAAUAUAUCGUGUGAUAUAUAAUAUGUAUUUUAUAAUAUAUAAAAUAUCAUAUGAUAUAAUCGAUAUAUUUUUUAUAAAUUUAAUUCUAAUUAAUUACUAAAAAUUUAUUUUUUUGUUUUUUUAAAUUGACACAUUAAAAAUUAUUUUUCAUGAAUUUCAAUUUUAAAUAAAAAAUAUUCAAAAAAUUGAAUUCGCUUUUGAUUUCAACAUGAUAAGUUUUUUUAAUUUUUAAUUAAUAAAUGAAAAUGAAAAAUAUAUAUUUUAUUUAAAAAUAUAUAUUAUUAAGGAAUAUGUUGAGAGUUUAAAUUUAAAAAAAAUCUCAUUUUCAAUUUAUACUUUAUAAUGUUUAAUUUUUUAAAAAUAUAAUAAUUUUAAAGGUAAAAUAUAUUAACACAAAUGAAUAUUUCAUUUUAAAUGUGUAAACAACGUUAAUACCUAAAUAUAAAAAAUUUAAAAUACUUUUUUUCACCUUUUCCUUUCUCUUAGGCCGAUUAGACUGACCGACCACCCAUUGCCCUGGGCUCCCAUGGGGCACACCCUCCCCUGCAAAUCACCAAAUCGAAGCAAGGAGCUCCAAAUUGGGCUCCCCAAGGCAACACCAGAUCUGGUGCUCAAUUGGGGAGUGUCGUCGACCCCGGUAGCCAAAAAGAAUCUUUUUUGAAAUAAAGAAAAAAUUUUAAAAUAAAAAAUUAUAAUUUAUAUAAUAAUAAUUUUUAAAAUUAAUAAAAAAUAAAAUUAUUUUAAAAAUAUUAUCGCAUCAUCAAAUUAACAUAAACAUUAACAAUUGACUAAUAACAAAACUUAUAUGUUUAACAAAAAAAGUUUUUUAAACAGAAUAUUUACGUUGAAAACUAGUAAACUUAUAUAUAAUUAUAAUUAAAAAUUUAGAGUAUUAGUGUAUUUUAUAUUAUUUUUAAUUUUUUUUAUUUUAUAUGUAUAAAUAUUAUUUAUAAUUAUUUUUAAAAUUUUUUACUAUAUUUUACGAUAUGAUAUUUGAUAUUAUAAAAAUAAAAUUUUAAUACACUAUAUGUAUUUUAAUUUAAGAAUUAUAUAAAAAAAAAAUAUGUUCUCUCUUUUGUUCAAAAUCCCACAUUAAAACUAUACGAGACAAGUGGUGAGAAGCUGCCUUUAAAAGAAACGACCCCUGGAUGGCAAAAGCAUACCUUUCUCGGCCUUUUGGCUAAGAUCAAGUGUAGUAUCUGUUCUUAUCAGUUUAAUAUCUGAUACGUGGGCCAUUGGUCCACACGAUAUUAAAUUAAUUUUUUUAGGGGGAGAACCCAUCUACAGUAGCUUGCUACUGGGGAUCUCGUGUGUCGCCCUAGCGUUGCACUACAGCUUGGGCCUGGCUAACCCCAACCAAUGCCAGUCUAAAUAUCUUUUUGAAUUUAGCCAGUCUAAAUAUCUUAUUGAAGAUAGCAGUAUCCCCAAAUACCAGUCAUGACAGCUCGGGCCUGGCACGACCCACCCAAUACGAGUUUUAACAUGUGUUCAAAUAUUUGAGGUAAUAUAUAUAUUAUUUGCUUGAUUUUUUAUUUAAUAAAAGGUUCAUUUUAAGGUCAAAAUUAGUUUAAAUUUUUUAUGAAACUUAUGUUUGAGUAUUUUUCCAAUUUAGAAGUACAGAUAAAAUUAUGUUAAUUCAAAAAUGGGUUGCAAAUUUAUUGGAUCUUUUAGUGCAGUAAAUAUAUGGUCUGUUCCUUUUUGAGUUAAAAUUUUAGUGUGAAGCUAGAAUUAUUGCAAGCAAAAGCCACAAGCCUGGAAUCUGCAUUAAACUUGAAUUGUUCUAGCUACAAAUCCCAAUUAACAAAGUGUAGCCCUUUAUCCCACGAAUUAAAGUAAAUCACUUAAUUUAAGCUUGAAUUUGAAUUAAAAAUAGGAGGUUUAUAGACCCAUCAACAGAGUUUUUUUUUUAUCUUUUUUUAAUUUGCAAGGUUAAAAGGAGAGUGCCCUUACUCUAUAUUUCUGAAUAAAAAUUUAAUUGUCAGACACUUUUUGAUGAAUUUAAAAAAAAAGAAGAAGAUGAAAGACCAAUUAAUAAUGAUUUGGAAACUGAUCAUUGUUUCCUUCGAAUUUCACAAGUCUGUUUGGAUGAGAGAAAGGAAGGGAAGCUAACUUUGGAAAUUCGUUUGUCCCACCUUACACAAGCAAAAGUAGGGAGUAGGGUGCAGAGGAAGCAGAGACUAUAAAUACAGGGCAGGUGGCACCGGUAAAACAUACUUACCUGGACGGGGUCGAUGGGUGAUCAUAAAGACCCAUGGCCUAGGUAAGCGGCCUCCAUUGCACUUAGGAGGGGCGCUUGCCUAAGGUCUCCCCAAGCGGGAGAGCCUACGUCGUAAUUUGUGGUAGUGGGGGCCUGCGUUCGCGCGGCCCCUGUCCAAUUCUAGUAACUAAAGUUUUAGGUUUCGGUAAUGUGGGGACCAUGGAUUAAGGCCGUCGCGGGGCUCAACCAAAGUCGUGUUUGUUUAUUUUCUUAGAAGUCUCUAAAUCGACUGAAGCAUGCAUGUAACAAAGAAAGGAGAGGCCUGCAUAAGCCAAGUUCCCAACUGUUUUCUUGAUGAAGCACUUAUUAAAGUUAAUUGAAUUUCUGCAGAUUAUGAACAGUUUUGAUGAACUUGGGUUUGCUUUCCACAUUGCCAUUCUGCCACUUCUUAAAAUUUGUUUCCUAUAUUCAAAACGCCAGAAUUCUCCUAAACUUGAAAUCUCUGUCUUCUUUCUUUGUUCCACAGGGUUGAGAAAAGAACACGUUCAAGAGUAGUUCAAUAGAUUACCUGUUUCUCUCAAUCUUUAGCCCUGUUUUGCGCCAAAGAAAGUUCGUUUACAUCCUCAUUGUUGCAUGACUACUCUAAUGAUUGAAAAGGGAGUUUUCAUGAUGAACCAUAGAUACUAACCCCAGUCGCAAACUAUGGCACGUAAUCCACAAUUUCAACAUUUCUUUGGGUGUGCUUUCACAGCAAGUCAGUAAGUGGCCCAGAAAAAACUCUAUGUCUUCAUUGUUUCUUCCACCGGGUUAAGCCUACCAUAACAAUGAUUAAGAAAAAAAACAUGUUCCAAGUUUCUAAGUAGUUUAUAGAUUACUUGUUCCUCCCCACCUAUUUUAAAAAUAGAAUUCGAAUCCUCUAAUUCAAUUCUGCAUCAAAAAAUAUAUUUAUUAAUAUCAUACAAUACGUAAUACGUAUAGUAUUUGAUUUGUAUUUAUAAUUAUAUCGCAUUUGAUUAAAUAUCAAAAUCAUAUCAUAUGGUACGUGAUAUGUAUUUUAUAAUACAAAAAGUAUCAUACGAUAUAGUUGAUACGUUUUUUUACAAAUUUAAAUCUAAUUAAUUAUGAAAAUUUGUUUUUUUUUAUUUUUUAAAUUGAAACAUUAAAACUAUUUUAAAUUAGUUUUAAUCUUUAGAUUUUAAAUAAAAAUAAUAAAAAAUUGAAUUAUUUUUUAUUCCAACAUGAUAAGUGUUUUUAAAUUUUUAAUUAAUAAAUUAAUAUAAAAAUGUAUAUUUUUUUAAAUAUAUAUUAUUAAGAAAUAUGUUGGCAGUUUAAAUUAAAAAAUAAUCCUCUUUUCAAUUUAUAUUUUAUAAUCUACCAUUAUUAAAAGUAAAAUACACUAACAUCUUUAACUUUUAAUUAUAAUUAUACACAGAUUCACUAGUUUUCAAAGUAAACAUUCUGUUCCAAAUGUGUAAAUGACGUUAAUGCCUAAACAUGAAAUGUCUAAAAUAUAUAUUUUCUUUUUUUUUUUCACAUUUUCUUUUCUCUCCAGUUGGCUAGUGACCUUUUUUUACACCGAUCGACCACAUCUACCUGAGCUCCCUUAAAGAGCACUAAAUCGGAGCAAGGAGCCCCAAAUUGGCUCCCCACAAAAGCACUAGAUCUACUGCUCCCCUAGGAGUGCCAUUGGUCACGAGUGGUCUGAAAGAUUUUUUUUUAAAUGAGAAAAUAUUUAAAAAUAAAAAAUUAUAAUUUAUAUAAUGUUAAUGUUUCAAAUUAAUAAAAGAUAAAAUUAUCUUAAAAAUAUUAUUAUGUCAUUAAAUCAAUAGAAACAUUGAUAAUUGACUAACGAUAAGACUUAUAUAUUUAGAAAAAUAGUUUUUUUGACAAAAUUUCACUUUAAAAAUUAAUAUAUCUACGUGUAAUUAUUAUUAAAAUUAAAAGUGUUAGUAUAUUUUAUUUUAUUUUACAUGUAUAAAUAUUAUUUAUAAUUAAUUUUAAAAUUUUUACUAUAUCUUAUAAUAUGAUACUCGAUACUAAAAAAUAAGAUAUCAAUACACGAUACAUAUCUUAAUUUAACAAUUAUGUCCAAAAAAUAACCCAUUUGAUAAUAAUUCUCUUUCGUUCGAAAUCCCACAUUGAAACUAUACGUGACAAGGGGCAAGAAGCUGCCUUUAAAAGAGGCGAGUCUCAUAAAAAGCAAAGCAUACCUUUCUCGGCCUUUUGGCUAAGAUCAAGUGUAGUAUCUGUUCUUAUCAGUUUAAUAUCUGAUACGUGGGCCAUUGGUCCACAUGAUAUUAAAUUAAUUUUUUUAGGGGAAGAGCCCACAACGGUAGCUUGCUACUGGGGAUCUGAGGUGUCGCCCAUGCGUUGCACUAUAGCUUGGGCCUGGCGCACCCCACCCAAUACGAGUCUAAGUAUGUUUUUAAGGGUUGCGUUACAGCGCGAGCAUGGCGCGCUUCUUACGAUAUGUUUUGAAGUGUUGGAGGUUUAAUAUUUA
RNAcentral lists this long non-coding RNA (9403 nucleotides) under Theobroma cacao (cacao). RNAcentral's name for it is "long non-coding RNA (TCAC_LNC003596)". The stretch from base 5866 to 6062 matches the Rfam family "U2 spliceosomal RNA". Lineage: Eukaryota; Viridiplantae; Streptophyta; Magnoliopsida; Malvales; Malvaceae. The record is from RNAcentral.